RNAcentral lists this non-coding RNA (46 nucleotides) under Trichobilharzia regenti. The record is from RNAcentral. Lineage: Eukaryota; Metazoa; Platyhelminthes; Trematoda; Strigeidida; Schistosomatidae.
AUACUGCUGAAGAGUCUCAAACUAGGACGAAACAGCUGUCCAGUAC